This is a long non-coding RNA of Xenia sp. Carnegie-2017, 504 nucleotides long. RefSeq lists it as uncharacterized. The record is from RefSeq and is a predicted model, not a curated record. The transcript has 2 exons. Lineage: Eukaryota; Metazoa; Cnidaria; Anthozoa; Malacalcyonacea; Xeniidae.
UUAAUGCAAACCCCAACUGUGUUAUACAGCAAUCUAUAGUUUGAAGACCUACGCAAACAUCAACAGCCGUAAAAUUACUGAUAUAGAGAAGACAUGUUGUGCAUUUGUUAUAUUGCCAUAGAUUGGUCGAAGAAUGGCCUAUAUUUUCGAAAAAGAUCGGCCUUGGCGCAAAGAAUAGAGAUCACAAACUCUCGUCAGAGCAUUGAAAUUUUUGUCUCCAAGACGCCAUGUUGAGAGGUCUCGUUCAACGUGGCAUCAUAUCGACAAUUAUAGUGAAAUAUCGGUUUUUCGUAUUUAUUGUUCAUACUAUGGCGCUUUAACAUUUAGAAAUGCAUAAUGCCUUAUGCGAGACUUUUUCUUUACUUUUUUUGUGUUAUAUACUAUUGAUAACUUGGGUGUAUAACUUUUUAUGUACAAUAUCUGUUAGACGUAUUCAUAAUCGAUUUUUUUAACAUCGAAUAACUUAAUAAAAGUCCAAUGCUUCUUGGUUCUUCGAAGUGCUUA